Molecule: ribosomal RNA, 379 nt
Filed under: uncultured organism
Description: partial 16S ribosomal RNA
Rfam family: Bacterial small subunit ribosomal RNA
Source: RNAcentral
GUAGGGGAGCAAACGUUGUCCGGAUUUAUUGGGCGUAAAGGGCUCGUAGGCGGUUCAACAAGUCGGUCGUGAAAACCCGGGGGGCUCAACCCCGGGGACGCCGGUCGAAACUGUUGUGACUAGAGUUCGGUAGAGGUGAGUGGAAUUCUCGGUGUAGCGGUGGAAUGCGCAGAUAUCGAGAGGAACACCAUUAGCGAAGGCGGCUCACUGGGCCGAUACUGACGCUGAGGAGCGAAAGCGUGGGGAGCAAACAGGAUUAGAUACCCUGGUAGUCCACGCCGUAAACGAUGAACACUAGGUGUGGCGGACUGAUUCAUGUCGGCUGCGCCGUAGCUAACGCAUUAAGUGUUCCGCCUGGGGAGUACGGCCGCAAAGGCUA